GACUAACAAAGAUCCUUAUUACAAUUAUUUAUUUAUUAUUUUUUUGAAAACAUGGUAUCCGGUCUUAGAACCGACUAAUCCAAAUUAUUACAAUUAUUUAUUUAUUUUUUUUUUAAAAACAUGAUAUCCGGUCUUAGGACCGACUAAUCCAAAUUAUUACAAUUAUUUAUAGCUGCCUCAUUACACAAAGUCCUUCAACAUAUUGUUUGUUUUACCAUCAAUUUCAUUUCACUACUAAUAGAAUUACUUUCAUUCAUAUCCUAUGGGCUUCAUUACAUAACGACAUCUACAAUGACGAGUAAUGCAUGUUGGAACCGUAAGACCAUGGCACUUAAAUUUUUCACAAUCACUGCUAAAUUGGCAAAUUAAAUCCACCAUUUCCUGUGAUCCUGUAAUAUAAAGAAAUAUAUAUUAUUAAAAGUGGUGAAUUAUUUUGUAUAAGAUAAACAACAUAGUUCAAAAGGAUUCAAACAAUUGUUUACCAGCAACUUCAACCACUACAUAAGAUAAGGAAAUAAAGAAGAUCAUUAAAUAAAUAAACUUUAUAAUUUCAGCCAUAUUUUUCUUCCUAAUUAAGCUUACAACAGAUAGAAAUGUAUUGAUCACUUUAUAUUUUAAAAGUACUAUGUUUUGUUUAUUUGAUUCAAUUUGUUGUACUUAUAUAGAUCUUUAAAAAAACUUCUUAGAAUUAG
Molecule: long non-coding RNA, 692 nt
Filed under: Trifolium pratense (red clover)
Lineage: Eukaryota; Viridiplantae; Streptophyta; Magnoliopsida; Fabales; Fabaceae
Description: long non-coding RNA (TPRA_LNC002033)
Source: RNAcentral